UACAACAGUACUUAAAUAAAAGUACACAACUAACGCAUAAACAACACAACUACGGUUGAAAACUCUGAAAACCAAACUUCUGUGGUUACCUUUGUAUUACAGAAGAACAACAAAACUACGGAGGACAGAAAACAUUACAUGCUACCAAGGUAAAUUACAUAUAAAAUAUACUACAUGAAGCUAUCAUCUGGAAAAGCAAAAACUAACAUUAUAUGAGAGCACGAAAAUACAGGACAUUUAUACAGAUAUGGGGAACUAACCACAUUCCUCCUAGAAGCAGAUGAUAGUUUCCUCUUUAAGCAUUUUACUUUCUGAAAUGACAAAAAACACAAAUGUCACCAAAAAGAAAAAAGCCAAAUUAACAAAAGAAAGAAAGAACUAAAAAGAAAAGAAAGAACAUACUUGAUUGAGAUAGAACUUCAAAAG
Molecule: long non-coding RNA, 426 nt
Filed under: Triticum aestivum (bread wheat)
Lineage: Eukaryota; Viridiplantae; Streptophyta; Magnoliopsida; Poales; Poaceae
Description: long non-coding RNA (TAES_LNC014144)
Source: RNAcentral